Molecule: ribosomal RNA, 495 nt
Filed under: uncultured bacterium
Lineage: Bacteria
Description: bacterial SSU rRNA
Rfam family: Bacterial small subunit ribosomal RNA
Source: RNAcentral
GAUUAUGGCUCAGGACGAACGCUGGCGGCGUGCUUAACACAUGCAAGUCGAACGAGGAUAGUUGGAAGCUUGCUUUAGCUAUUCGAGUGGCGGACGGGUGAGUAACGCGUGAGCAACCUGUCUCACACAGGGGAAUAACGCAUCGAAAGAUGUGCUAAUACCGCAUAGGACCACGGUAUCGCAUGGUACUGAGGUGAAAGGAGCAAUCCGGUGUGAGGUGGGCUCGCGUCUGAUUAGAUAGUUGGUGAGGUAACGGCCCACCAAGUCAACGAUCAGUAGCCGACCUGAGAGGGUGAUCGGCCACAUUGGGACUGAGACACGGCCCAGACUCCUACGGGAGGCAGCAGUGGGGAAUAUUGGGCAAUGGGCGAAAGCCUGACCCAGCAACGCCGCGUGAAGGAAGAAGGUUUUCGGAUCGUAAACUUCUGUCCUUGGUGAAGAGAUAGAGACGGUAGCCAAGGAGGAAGCCCCGGCUAACUACGUGCCAGCAGCGGC